CUUGUUGAGAAAGGUGUGCUCUGGUAUGUUUAAAAUGAGUUCCUUUUCUCCCACCCCUGCUGGAAGCUCCCAGGAAUUUUUCUCAGCUAUUUGCUGUAGGAAUCUGGUCGAGCUCUUAGAGGUCAAUCUCACAAUGUUGUGGGAGCUCUCCCUUGACCAAGUCCUUCUGGAGCUCAACUGUCAGAGUGGUCCACGCUGAGUCUCCAGCAAUCUUCGUCAACUGCUGUUCAGCUUUUCCUACCCCUGCACUGGUUUUCUCAGACGUUUCUGCUCCUAGUCUCUGCUCUGGCUCUCUGGAUCUGGCAUCCUGGAGAUCUGAAUGACUUACCUGCUGAGAAAAGGUCUUCUACCCUGUGAAGGCUCGGGCUGUCUGAAAAGCCCACUGCACAAUUCUGUCGCCUGGAGACUUGUGACAGCACGUUAGUCUGUCUGACUCCUUCGGCAGGAGUUGGCACUUUGUAUUAUCAAGCAUCCCUAUGAAUAGGAGAGGACCAGAGCACUUGGCGUUUGUAGUGGCAAAUCAUGUCUUGGAAAGCUGUCGGGAUUCUCAGCACUAAGAAAAUCCUGGGGAGGGAGACCAGCCAGCCAUCAUUUAUUCAUGCUUCUAAAGGGCUCUGGAAACACAGGUAACAAUGGGCUGGAAGAACAAGCCCUGUCAUGUAUUAAUAAACAGGGAGCCUGAGAACCAGGGGUGGGGGGGGAUGGGUCACCGGGGACUAAUAAGGCUCCCUGGGGCUCCGGGCUGGGGGCCUUCUAAUGACCUAUUAGUGAGGCUGCUGGAGAAAGAGAAGGGCAUUUCCCCCCCUCUUCAACCACUUUUGUUUGAAGAACUUUAAGAUAUUUCAUUAGCAAGUUCUUCAAAAGAAGGCAGAUGCUGCUUUACCGGGGAUGGACCCAGCACAGAUAUACUUGGAAGCUGGAUUUUUAAAAUGAACUGAGUAAAACAUUUAUUGAAAAUCUGCGAAAUGCCAGACACUGUGCCAGGCACUGGGGACACACAGGUUAAGAAAAUGGUCCCUGGCACGUAGUUCACAGCCUACCUGGGUA
Molecule: long non-coding RNA, 1047 nt
Filed under: Equus asinus (donkey)
Lineage: Eukaryota; Metazoa; Chordata; Mammalia; Perissodactyla; Equidae
Description: lncRNA (ENSEASG00005034304.1)
Source: RNAcentral